GUUUUUAUAGUUUAAACUAAAACAUUGGUCUUGUAAACCAAAAAUAAUAUUUUUUUUUUAAAAACU
Molecule: transfer RNA, 66 nt
Filed under: Cnaphalocrocis medinalis (rice leaffolder)
Lineage: Eukaryota; Metazoa; Arthropoda; Insecta; Lepidoptera; Crambidae
Description: tRNA-Thr
Rfam family: tRNA
About the family: Transfer RNA (tRNA) molecules are approximately 80 nucleotides in length.
Source: RNAcentral